RNAcentral lists this non-coding RNA (300 nucleotides) under Symbiodinium sp. CCMP2430. Lineage: Eukaryota; Dinophyceae; Suessiales; Symbiodiniaceae. The record is from RNAcentral.
AAUUUAAAAUAAAGAAAAGAAAAGAGCGUGCGUUCAUUCUUCACUUACCUCUUUUCGUUUCUUUAGUUUAAAUUGAGUCUUUUGCCUUCUUUCCCUUUGCCUUUUAUUCUGUUUCAAUUAAAUUACAAUGGUAAUAAAGUUAAGCGUGAAUUUAAUUGAAACGAACCAAAAGGCAAAGCGAAAGAACCUGUUGGCUGUUCCUGGUGCGGUUGGCCUUUACUUUUUCUCUUUCCACUUUGUUCAAUUCAUGCUUCACUUUAUUUCCAUUAUAAUUGAACAAAGGAAGAAAGGAAAAGUAAA